CCGUGCUCUAAUGGUAGCACACUGUCAAUGUAGUUGCAAGUUAUUGGACAUGGACUGUAUGCUCAGACCCUCAAGGGGAGACAGAGUCCACAGAUCCAAACUAGAUGUGGAACUGUAUGCAUGACAAUCCUGCUCUGUCUUAAGGAUGCAUCCCAGUCACCAUCUGCCUUAAUAGAUACUGUCCACCUUCCAGUUGGGAUGCCAAAACUCAUAGUUCUGUACUAAGAAGGAUUCACUGUCACAGGGAUCAUAACAGCAGCCUUGCUGUGUAAGUUCCUGAAGUGGCCAAGAACAGCGGCAUGGCGCUCCUCUCUGUGUUUACAUGCUCUAGCACCUCCAGAGGGGCUGCCUUGGACACAAUAGGGCAGCUUUUCACCUUGAGGCCAUGGGGAGGCACACAAUAGUGAGGAUGUUUCAGGGCUGCUCGUCUUAAUAGAAAAGAGGAGACAGUUAGGUACCUAACCCUUCUUAAGGGUGGGUUAAGGUACCGAGUUCAUCCUGAGCAGCAAGACUUUCCCUCCAUCAUGUGUGCCUGAAGCAUGCUGUGUUGCCAAAGGCAGCUAUGGACGUGAUGGCACCCCAGAAGGAAGUUAACACAGGAGUUAGAUAUAAGGAUUGUCAGAGUGUUUGGGCAGAAAGGGUUGCAUUCAAGAAUAGGCUAGUGCUAGCUAAGCAAGAACAAAGUCUUAGUAGUAUGAGGGCUAGAGUUUGUCUUCUGCUCAGCAGAGAACUGGAAAUUUGUGAUUAAGCAGUUUGUGACUGUAAAAAAAACCACUCUGCAGUACACACAUACUAGCUGUAAGCCCUAGUCAGCACUUCUCAGAUCUUCAAAGAUGUGUCUGAAAGCAGAGGAUGCUGUCAGUGUCAGGACUAAAAUUGGAAUGGUGCUCUCUAAGACAGCAUCCAUGCAGCUGGUGUUAACAGGUAUUGCUCCUCACCACUCAAGGUGAAGGGGAUCAAGGGGCCUGAGUGACAGUGGAUAGAUAAAUACGGUCACACGCAAAUAAAACUGUUGUAUCAUGUUCCUUCUACUUACCUCAUCUGGGGAAGGCUCAGUCUUCAUGGAGCUUCCUGGCCUGCCCCAUCCCACCUCUUCAUAGUCCGAGGCCUGGUGUCUUCUUGUUUGUAUCUUUACAGCAAGGCAAAGAGCAGGCUCAAGAACAGGUUUAAAUAUACUCCAGUGAUGCUCCUAUUCGGAUCCAGUUUUGUAGAACAGUGGUGCACUUGAUAGUUGUCUUGAUGAAGAGAUCUACUCACCACAUGCAACCCUGCAUGCUCUUGGAAGGUUUAGGAAUCUUUUUGAUCGACGCAUAGAAAAUUUCAAAGAAAAAUAUGGCAUUUCUCUGCUCAUUGUCUUUCCUUGACAGGAUUUCAGGAGGGCCACGAGAGGGCGAUGUGUCAGCAGAGAAAACUUCCACAAGAUGAAGUAAAGGCAAAGUGGCCAGAUCUUGUUCUUGUUGAAAAAAAUGCUUUCCUACAUAAAGAAAAUACAAUGCUAUUUUAAAACUACAAAGAUUAAAACCUCCAGGAACUCUGAAGAUGGAAAUCUAUCUAGCCAUGCAUUGCCAGCAAGUGCUUGGUGUUUUCUGCUUCUACAUGGGAAUUCACAAAUGUCUUGGCAUCCUUUCCUGCAGCCUUCGAGGGCAUGGAGGAAGAUGUCUGGAACAGGGAAACUGCCCCUGGGCCAUUUGCAUUGCCUGUUUCAGUUGUGGCACGGAUGAAGAGGAAGUAUGGAGAGCUUUCUUCUGUUUGUCUGGUGAGAAGACUUGUAGUGGUUGAUCCUUUUUGGUAUAUGGCGAUCAACUAGAUGAUAUUUUCAUAUAUCCUUCUUUCAUUCCAGUUUCUGUGAUUCUGUGACAUUUGUGGCUUCUGCCUUUGCAAUGCCAUACCACCAACUCAUGGUACAUCAAGCUUAUUAAGAUUUAUUAAAGGAAAGAAGUUUUGCCCGUUUCACAUAAACAGUUAAUGCUAUUGUGGCAAUAUUAUAGUUGUUGUCUUUUUCCACAUAGCACAAAUUCAUGUCUCCGUCUUCACAAUAACCACUAUAAAUUAUACAUCACAGGGAAUGAGAUCAAGUUAGGAAAAGGCAGUCCUACAUCUGUACAGGUAUGCUUGGCAACUCAUGCAAAAUCUUUAUCUUUUUUUUGCCUGAUUGUAACAUUGCUUUAGUGAUCUUUUUGUGCUUCAUAAAUUAAUGGGAAGGUGCAAGCUGCCAUUCAUGUAGUAAAUAGCACUGGGGGGAUCCCAGUGUUAUUUUGCUUGUCGUCUUUUGCCACAAUACACAACUCUGUAACCACAUUUGGGGUUCUGAUGGGUCUUGUAGGGUCAGUCCAGCCUCCUCCCACAUUGUGAGUGAGAAUGGAAGUUUUAUAGG
This is a long non-coding RNA of Chroicocephalus ridibundus (black-headed gull), 2374 nucleotides long. RefSeq lists it as uncharacterized. Lineage: Eukaryota; Metazoa; Chordata; Aves; Charadriiformes; Laridae. The record is from RefSeq and is a predicted model, not a curated record. The transcript is spliced from 3 exons.